Molecule: long non-coding RNA, 2966 nt
Organism: Felis catus (domestic cat)
Lineage: Eukaryota; Metazoa; Chordata; Mammalia; Carnivora; Felidae
Exons: 2
Source: RefSeq, a predicted model, not a curated record
UUAAAAGGAGCCACUUAUAUUUGGGAGUUGGGAGAAAGGAGGGUGUCCCAGCAAGGCCAGAAACAGUGGUUUCUGGGGCUGAAGCAGUGAGGUGGCAUGCAGAGAGCAUGUACUAAUGGUCAAGUAGCAACCCCCCCCCCCUUCAACUGGCCCCCUGGGGGCUGGGAGACAGGACAGUGAGAAGACUAGAAUGCUGCCUCUUAAAGCAGCUAAGACCCCCCACAGAGAGACAGAGAGGCUGCAUUCUUUGUGGCAAUAGCUGAAAAUAUAGUAUGAGACUGGGCCCUGAGAACAGGUAGCCUGCCAGUGGCAAAGAGAGAAGCCAGCAUCUCCCAAACAUAAGACCAAGAUGAUGAACAGGGCCUUUGCACACCCGGGGCCUGUUACACCUGCCUGUCUGGGAUGCUGGCUCUCAGCCCUGCCUUUGGGAAAGAGCUCAGCUUUAUAAUACUGGUUGCCCUCUUGCCCAAAUAAUGAAGAAAUCCAAGUAAAAAGGUGUGUCUAUGUUUUUCCUUCCGAAGUUGGUUGAUCUGGGUUACGGUUGUAGUUUACACUGUGCCUCUAAAUGUUAUGUUGAAGAAAAAGCAGUGUUUCACACCACAAAUUCAGCAGCUGAGAUGUUGCUCUUGCUGUUGUUCUUGACCAGAUGAGGUUAGGUUAAACUCUUGUCAGCCGAACCUUGAUUUGUUAACACUACCCAUGUCCCAGGUAGCAAGCCCAGAUGGCUUUCAAAAUAGACCAGGCACGCAUAGCUGACAAGAUCCCAGUGGGCAGAAGGUAAUGUUACACCACCUGUGAUAUAACUUCUAGAAUGGUUGCUGCUGCCCCUUUGCUCCAGAAUGUAGCUCCAGUGCACUGAAAAGUGGAAAGUCCUCAAACAAUUUGUGGGAGUAGUGUGUGUGUACUUUCCCUAGAGCUGGUUAAACUUUCACCGAGCUUUGGAGGCUUCUAAUAAGCAAUUACAGCCUUUUCUUUUCCUUUUUUGCUUCAGAGGGACAGCUCGCCAAACAAACUUCCUGGUGGCCGUUCAGAAGGACAAAAUUCUUUGCCGAAGCAUGUGCCAGAGUUUGACAAUGCGCGGCAGCCAUUGGAAGCUUUUGGCACACACUGGGCCACAAGUGGGUUCCAGGGCUCUUAGGGACAGAGUGCUGCUAAUUUGUGUGGCAACUGCUUCAGAAUGGUGAGCGGAGACGACACCUGUUUAAGGAGCAGGAAGUCAGGACAGGGGAUAGAUUGAUUCUCCAGGCUGAGAAACGCUGGUAAAGGAAGGGGAAAGCCCCAUCUUGGAAGAAAUUUCAAUUAUCUGCUGACCUGUGUGCCUGAUGGCAGGUAUCUUGCUCCUCCCCAGGAUGACCUGACUCUCCUUUGCCUUCUCUCCUGGAGAGCUGCCUCUUGAAGGGAAUGUGCUCUACUAUUUAGAGAGGAAACCAGGAAGUGAGGAGUCACAGCCCAGGCUUCCUGGUCAGGCUGCUGACUCACACAGCCCUCCUUCAGGCAAUUUCCUUCAUUUCUCUGUACCUCAGUUUCUCAGUUCAAUGAAAGAUGAAAAUGGAAUUCCCCUGGAGGCAUUGGGAACAGCCUAAUUAAUGUUUAUGUUUCUUUGAGAUAACUGGGAUUAAGAGGUCCUAUUACUGUGGAGCAUCAUUACACGGAAGAUUACAUCUUAAUUGUCAACUCUAGGCCUACACUGGAUAACUAGCAUUCAGGAUUGGGCCAUCUUCCCACUAGGCCUACACUGGAUAACUAGCAUUCUGAGUCGUUGGGCCAUCUUCCCACUAGCCACUUCGUGAUGUCCCUCUCCCUCCAUGCUUUCCACGUUGAUCUUGGGGUGUGCCAUUUGCUUGUCUUCUGUUAGUAAAGGGAAGGAGACUUUCAUUUCUCCUUGCUCAUUCCAGAGGCUAGUAGCCCCUAAGUGUUUGCCAAUAAGGGCUGACUGAGAGAGAGAGAGAGAGAGAGAUGCUGCUAAACGCAGCCCCUUCAAACACAACCCUCCAUGUUCUUUUAAGGAAUUUCGGCUGUCCCUUUGUACUUACUUGAUUUUCUUUUCUCCUUUCAAAGUGUUGACUUCAUUGUUUGGCCAGGGUGAAUACAUCACUUCCUCUUUGGGGGUCUGGGUUUUGUCUCCUGCUGGGUCUGAAAUGUCAUGUAAUUUGUUGGGUUUUGCUAGAUUAUGUUGGGGGUUUGUUUGUUUUUUGGUGUUCCCAAAUUGGCACUGUUUCACCAGAACUCUUGCCACUUCUACUCCCUGAUUAAUGAUGUGAUAGAAAUUUGCAGCCCCUUGGCAUUUACCACAAGAUAUGCAUUUGUCUGUAACUGCUCUCUGGGUUCUGUUGCCUACAAAGGGAGUUCCCCCUGCAAGGGUAAAAAACCAACAAAACCCCGCUGUUAUCUUUUCUUCCUGCUGUGCGGUCAGGUUGCUCUGUUGCUUUGCUCAUUAUCUGAACUUUGUUGAAGAGUGGAUCGCUCUGCGUUUCAUCCACAAUAUGGUGCAAGCCCCAGAUCUUUUCCUCUUCAGACUUACCAGCCUUUCCAUGACUCCUCGUACAUGACUUUUUCCAUUCCUGGAAGCAGUGUUUCUCUACUCCGGUUAAUUUGGUGCGAACUUACUUUGUUCAUGUGGACUUUACAUAUCAGAUACUGGAUACACAUCGCAAUAGCAGGACCCUGUAAAUACUGUCUUCUGGAUUUUCACCACAGCAUGAUGGAUUCCCAGCUUCAUAAACUGUAUAACUCAUGUGUAUAAACUUUCCUAAUUACUAAUACCUGGCUCUGUUUUAAUUCUGCUUCCAUAUGUUCUUGACUUCUCUGCAGAUAAAACAGUAAGUUUCAUGUCUCAUUGCUCAAUUAGUUGCUGUUAUUAGCUUAAUAAGUGAAAGGCUUUCUGGUGUCAUUGACCUGAUUUUUAGGAUUGCAAAAGGCUGUAUACAUCAUUUGUAUUUAUUGCCAAAUAAACCUUUGUAAGUGUA